Molecule: ribosomal RNA, 253 nt
Filed under: uncultured bacterium
Lineage: Bacteria
Description: partial 16S ribosomal RNA
Rfam family: Bacterial small subunit ribosomal RNA
Source: RNAcentral
UACGGAGGGUGCAAGCGUUGUUCGGAAUUAUUGGGCGUAAAGCGCGUGUAGGCGGUUUUCUAAGUCUGAUGUGAAAGCCCCGGGCUUAACCUGGGAAGUGCAUUGGAAACUGGAAGACUUGAGUACGGGAGAGGAAAGCGGAAUUCCGAGUGUAGGGGUGAAAUCCGUAGAUAUUCGGAGGAACAUCGGUGGCGAAGGCGGCUUUCUGGACCGAUACUGACGCUGAGACGCGAGAGCGUGGGGAGCGAACAGG